This 253-nucleotide unclassified non-coding RNA is filed under the name plant metagenome. Its description in RNAcentral is "partial contains small subunit ribosomal RNA, internal transcribed spacer 1, and 5.8S ribosomal RNA". The record is from RNAcentral.
UUUCCGUAGGUGAACCUGCGGAAGGAUCAUUAACGAGUUAGGGUCUUUUAGGCCCGACCUCCCAACCCUAUGUUUAUUGAACCUCUGUUGCUUCGGCGGACCCGUCUCACGGCCGCCGGAGGACCGCUGCGAGGCGUCCUCUGGCCAGCGUCCGCCGAUGGCCAACCCACUAAACUCUGAAUGAAUCGUGUCAUAUGCCUAAGUCUAUGAUUAAAUUAAAGCAAAACUUUCAACAACGGAUCUCUUGGUUCCC